Molecule: long non-coding RNA, 286 nt
Organism: Diceros bicornis minor
Lineage: Eukaryota; Metazoa; Chordata; Mammalia; Perissodactyla; Rhinocerotidae
Exons: 3
Source: RefSeq, a predicted model, not a curated record
CCAGGAGUUCGAGGUCCUGAAGACCUUCUCCUCGCCCCGCACUGUCAUCUCUGCUCUGCAGAAAACAUCCAUAUGCCACUUGAAGAACACAUGGGGGAAGUUUCCUGGGAGAGCUCUGAAAAAUUUAAGGAGAGCUAUAGCCAAGACGUGUCCUUGAACAGAGAACUGAUGACCAAGAUUAACAAGCAGAGGGAUCUGUUCUGCCCAUGGGCAGGUGGGGUGCCAUUUUUGGGCAGGAGGCCUUGGUCAUGGGACACAGUGGUGUUGGCUGGGCUGUUCCAGGACG